GAUCACCUCCUUUAGAGUUUGAAUCCUGGCUCAGGACGAACGCUGGCGGCGUGCUUAACACAUGCAAGUCGAACGAUGAAGCCCUUCGGGGUGGAUUAGUGGCGAACGGGUGAGUAACACGUGGGCAAUCUGCCCUUCACUCUGGGACAAGCCCUGGAAACGGGGUCUAAUACCGGAUAACACUCUGUCCCGCAUGGGACGGGGUUAAAAGCUCCGGCGGUGAAGGAUGAGCCCGCGGCCUAUCAGCUUGUUGGUGGGGUGAUGGCCUACCAAGGCGACGACGGGUAGCCGGCCUGAGAGGGCGACCGGCCACACUGGGACUGAGACACGGCCCAGACUCCUACGGGAGGCAGCAGUGGGGAAUAUUGCACAAUGGGCGAAAGCCUGAUGCAGCGACGCCGCGUGAGGGAUGACGGCCUUCGGGUUGUAAACCUCUUUCAGCAGGAAGAAGCGAAAGUGACG
RNAcentral lists this ribosomal RNA (462 nucleotides) under Streptomyces baarnensis. Its description in RNAcentral is "bacterial SSU rRNA". It matches the Rfam family "Bacterial small subunit ribosomal RNA", at positions 1 to 460 of the family's 1533-position model. Lineage: Bacteria; Bacillati; Actinomycetota; Actinomycetes; Kitasatosporales; Streptomycetaceae. The record is from RNAcentral.